UACGAGGGGUGCAAGCGUUGCUCGGAAUUAUUGGGCGUAAAGGGUAGGUAGGUGGUCUCAUUUGCCUGGGGUGAAAGCCUUGAGCUUAACUCAAGAAGUGCCCCAGAAACGGUGAGACUAGAGUCCUGGAGAGGGUCGUGGAAUUCCCGGUGUAGCGGUGAAAUGCGUAGAGAUCGGGAGGAACACCAGCGGCGAAGGCGGCGACCUGGACAGGUACUGACACUCAACUACGAAAGCGUGGGGAGCAAACAGG
Molecule: ribosomal RNA, 253 nt
Filed under: uncultured bacterium
Lineage: Bacteria
Description: partial 16S ribosomal RNA
Rfam family: Bacterial small subunit ribosomal RNA
Source: RNAcentral